Molecule: ribosomal RNA, 253 nt
Filed under: uncultured bacterium
Lineage: Bacteria
Description: partial 16S ribosomal RNA
Rfam family: Bacterial small subunit ribosomal RNA
Source: RNAcentral
UACGGAGGGUGCAAGCGUUAUCCGGAUUUAUUGGGUUUAAAGGGUCCGUAGGCGGGCUUAUAAGUCAGUGGUGAAAUCUCAUAGCUUAACUAUGAAACUGCCAUUGAUACUGUAAGUCUUGAGUAAAAUUGAGGUAGCUGGAAUAAGUAGUGUAGCGGUGAAAUGCAUAGAUAUUACUUAGAACACCAAUUGCGAAGGCAGGUUACCAAGUUUUAACUGACGCUGAUGGACGAAAGCGUGGGGAGCGAACAGG